CCCGGCGAAUUUAAGCAUAUUACUAACCGGAGGAAAAGAAACCAACAGGGACGUCCUCAGUAGCGGCGAGCGAAGCGGACGAUGCCCAAACCGAACCGCGGUUCCCGAGGGGGCCGCGGAGUGUGGAGAGGAUGAGCUCGCGAGGGGGCGGGACGGGUUCCAAUCCGUCUGGAAGGGCGGAGGCACGGAGGGCGAUUCCCCGUACGUGCUCGGUCCGUCCCCGACGAGCGAACGCAUCGGAGAGUCGGGCCGCUUGAGAGUGCAGCCCGAAUGGGGUGAUAGGUCUCAUCCAAGGCUAAGUACGUGGGAGACGCCGAUAGCGAACAAGUACGGCGACGGAAAGGUGAAAAGAACCUCGAAAGGGGGUCAAAAGCGCUCGAAAUCGUAGAGGGGGAAGCGGACCUGACCGACGAGACCUCGUCGUCGCUCGCGCUCGACCCACGCUUCGUCGCGGAGUUCCGGAGGGCGUCG
RNAcentral lists this ribosomal RNA (471 nucleotides) under uncultured eukaryote. Its description in RNAcentral is "eukaryotic LSU rRNA". It matches the Rfam family "Eukaryotic large subunit ribosomal RNA", at positions 24 to 497 of the family's 3401-position model. The record is from RNAcentral.